This 892-nucleotide small RNA is filed under the name Pongo abelii (Sumatran orangutan). RNAcentral's name for it is "processed transcript". The record is from RNAcentral. Lineage: Eukaryota; Metazoa; Chordata; Mammalia; Primates; Hominidae.
ACUGGGAUACUCACUGCUGGAGCGGCUGCUCACCUACAACUCCCUGUACAAGAAGGGCCCUGAUGGCUAUGACCCCCAGUUCAUAACCAAGCUGCUCCGCAACUACAGGUCUCAUCCCACCAUCCUGGACAUUCCUAACCAGCUCUAUUACGAAGGGGAGCUGCAGGCCUGUGCUGAUGUCGUGGAUCGAGAACGCUUCUGCCGCUGGGCAGGCCUACCUCGACAGGGCUUUCCCAUCAUCUUUCACGGCGUAAUGGGCAAAGAUGAGCGUGAAGGCAACAGCCCAUCCUUCUUCAACCCUGAAGAGGCUGCCACAGUGACUUCUUACCUGAAGCUGCUCCUGGCCCCCUCCUCCAAGAAGGGCAAAGCCCGCCUGAGCCCUCGAAGCGUGGGAGUCAUCUCCCCGUACCGGAAACAGGUGGAGAAAAUCCGUUACUGCAUCACCAAACUUGACAGGGAGCUUCGAGGACUGGAUGACAUCAAGGACUUGAAGGUGACACGCUGUUCCACUUGCCCACUUCCGUGUGCCCCCACUUGCUCACUUCCAGAGACUUCCUCAAACUUCCACUCCAGUCCAGCCCAUGUCCCCGUUCCACCCCUGCUGCCUUGAAUAGAGCUCGACCUCUCCCCAAGCCUCUCACUCCUGGAGAUUCCAACUUAAGGGUCUGGGAUGGGAUCAGGAAGCCUGCAUGUUUAACAAACACCUCCUGUCAUUCCUAGACUCAGGCAGGUUUGAGGCCUCUGCCCUAAGGAUAAAGUCCAAAUUCCGUGGCCUGUCAUGUGAUGCUGCCACCCCCACCCCCAGUAGCCUCUCUCUCUUAAGGUUCUGGUCUCAACACUGGCUGCAGAUAACAAUCACCUGGAGAGCUUUUAAUACCCCUGUGCCAGGGCC